GUUAGAGUGGCAGAGCCCGGAAAUUGCAAAAGGUCUAAGCCCUUUCCACAGAGGUUCAAGUCCUCUCCCUAACU
Non-coding RNA from Fundulus heteroclitus (mummichog), 74 nucleotides. Lineage: Eukaryota; Metazoa; Chordata; Actinopteri; Cyprinodontiformes; Fundulidae. The record is from Ensembl.